ACCCUGCCACAGAAUGUGGAGUGAUAAUUUCAAAGAAAAAUGGAAAAUGAGAGAAGAAGAAUUGAAUUCCCUUUUCAAAGUCUCCCUCCACAUUGUUCGGCUCACAUGAGAACAAAGAGAGAAAGGACAUUCAGCUGAUACACAAAGGACAGCCUGCAUUCAGUGAGCACUGGCUUUAGUCACAACAGCUGUGAAGAGAUUAAGGCAGAGCAGAGAAAGAAAUCCCACAAGAAGCGUGCCUGAAACCCCUGCAGAAAGGAGAUAUGCAAGGCUGAUCCCAGGCCAUACACGAUCCUCCCAAUCAGCAGGGAACAGACCUGGAAAGCACCAAAAGAGGAAGUUCUGAUGUUAAGUUCUCCAGAAGGCCUCCCAGGAAGCACAAGCAACUAAGAAGCCCGCAAAACAGCACAUCUCUUUACUUAAGAAGACUGUGCAUCAGGGAAUCAGUGACACCUUGCAGUGUUGUGCUCAGCAGUUCUGAAUAUAUCGUGUGAAAGAGGGAGGAAAGCAUUUGUCCCUUUUUAGGGAAACAGAGAGCUUCUGAAAAAUUUAGGCAAAGGACUACGCUAUGUGUCAAAAUUUUGGAUUGGCUUUUAAAAAAAAAAACUGAUUCACAGUCAACCAAAAGUGACCACAUGAGAUCCCAACAUGAUCACACCUAUUAUACAAUCCCCAAUCCAUCUGGGAGCAUAUCAGGGAAAGAGGAAAAUCAGAAGAGUGGCAGUGAAGCAGCAGAAGGGAAACCCCUUUGGUGAAUAGCAAGGAGCUGCCAAAAGAUUCAGUACAGAGGGGUUGCUAAAUAUCUCAGCACCUAAGAUACAGGUCCUCAGUCUCCCACUCCACACAGGCGUGUGAAUGGAUUCAAUCCUAUGAAAAAUGUAAAAACUGACACCUGGAUAGUUCUGAAAAUGUACCACAGAGGAACAACUGUUGUUUGAGGUAGAAUUCAUCCUUACAUUCUCUGCCUAUCCAUGUUAAACUGACAAAAGGAUUAAA
Pogona vitticeps (central bearded dragon) is the source of this 996-nucleotide non-coding RNA. Lineage: Eukaryota; Metazoa; Chordata; Lepidosauria; Squamata; Agamidae. The record is from RefSeq and is a predicted model, not a curated record.